UACGUAGGGGGCAAGCGUUAUCCGGAUUUACUGGGUGUAAAGGGAGCGUAGACGGCGAUGCAAGUCUGAAGUGAAAGGCGGGGGCUCAACCCCUGGACUGCUUUGGAAACUGUAUGGCUGGAGUGCAGGAGAGGUAAGUGGAAUUCCUAGUGUAGCGGUGAAAUGCGUAGAUAUCAGGAGGAACACCGGCGGCGAAGGCGGCCUGCUGGACUGAAACUGACGUUGAGGCUCGAAAGCGUGGGGAGCAAACAGG
RNAcentral lists this ribosomal RNA (253 nucleotides) under uncultured Eubacteriales bacterium. RNAcentral's name for it is "uncultured Clostridiales bacterium partial 16S ribosomal RNA". It matches the Rfam family "Bacterial small subunit ribosomal RNA", at positions 524 to 776 of the family's 1533-position model. Lineage: Bacteria; Bacillati; Bacillota; Clostridia; Eubacteriales. The record is from RNAcentral.